Molecule: long non-coding RNA, 779 nt
Filed under: Homo sapiens (human)
Lineage: Eukaryota; Metazoa; Chordata; Mammalia; Primates; Hominidae
Description: long intergenic non-protein coding RNA 2364
Source: RNAcentral
AGAACAAGAAAAGGCUCUGAAACAGAUCCAAGAUGUUGUUUGAGCCAUGCAACUAGAAGAUCUCAUAGAACUAAAGUUAUCUAAUUUACAGAAAAGGUUUUACGUGACGUCUAUUGUACAGAUUCAUAUGAAAACCAUAGUUCAAACUCCAAGGUUUAAGAAGUAAGAAAGAUCAUGCCAUUUGCAACAAACAUGCAUGCAUAUUUGAAAAGCAACUGUAAGUAUGCUAUUGGACAUUGGUAAAGAUUGAAUAUCUGACCAUGGCAUAUCAAGAAACCAUGGAAUGAGUACUGCUUAUCAAGAUCUGGGUGUGAGAAGACUUAAAAAGUCAGAUAGUCAGUGAGAACCAGCUAGAAUCCAUGAUCUGUUGUGGGAAAACUAGAAGACCAAAAAAAGCACGAAAGUCAAGAAAGAAGUCUCUUUUCACAUGAAAGUGGCUGUGCUAAUGGUCUAUCAAGAUAUCCUGAGUUUCCAGUAGAGAUGUUUCAGCCAUAACACAGGCCUGGUAGAAAAAGCCUGAAGACAAAUACUGCUAUGAAUGGUUACAUCUAGGACUUCUGAAAUUAGCCCCAGAUUCAACUCAUUUUUUUCUGCAUUUGCUGAGCAAUAUGACAUGUUUACACCGAUUAGCUAAAAAGUUAUGUGAAGAAUGGGCAACAAUAUCUCUAAGGCAAGAUAUGUUCAGAUCCAAUAUAGUUCAUAUAGACCUUGUCAGAGUAAAUGACCAUGUGCCUUUCAGAACACUAAAGAAUAAAAUCCUUCCACAUUAGAAUGACAAA